Molecule: long non-coding RNA, 1481 nt
Organism: Suricata suricatta (meerkat)
Lineage: Eukaryota; Metazoa; Chordata; Mammalia; Carnivora; Herpestidae
Exons: 3
Source: RefSeq, a predicted model, not a curated record
AACAAGCAUGCAAAACACCGAGGAGGCCAGGCGAAACAGUGUGGCAUCGCAGUGUGGCAUCGGAGUCCGGCAUCGGAGUCCGCGAGUGAGGGAAGGAGUCCUAAGGGGGGAAUAACAGCCCCAGUGGUCUGAGGUGUCUGCAGAGUGGAAUCAACAGGAAUUUGAGAGACCAACAGGAGGAAUUCAUCAUUUAGAACAGGUGGAAUGAAGGGGAAGAAAACAUGAUAGUGUGAGCUACGCACAGUGAAGAGGAGAAACGGAAGAUCAAGUUUACAUGGGAAGGUAACAGUAAGGAGAAAAGCUGGCCCUCACCUUCACGAGGAGCUCGGUGAGUUCCUCCUCCCCACUGUACACGGCUCCGGACGCCUUCCCCUCCUGCCAGAAGACAUCUGCAGAGAAAGUCAAGACCAGCAGUUUCCUUCUUCUCUCCCUUCCUUCCCUAUCCAGUCACUGGAAGCGUGAGGAGUGUCACGAGCUGUGAGUACACCCUCAUCAGAGUUGCAGUCCGGGAAUCCCUGACCAGACAAACUAUGAUGAUGUAUGUACCAUCAGUCCCUGGUCCCAGCAGCCCCUCCUUCACACGAGUCUGACACCCGGCCCCCCAACCCCCAACAAUUAGUCACGCCCUUCCAGAAACCUACGGGGUAGCACUCAGCAUCAGGAACGCGGUCGACACUGGGAUAAGCUCAGGGGAAAGGGUCCUGACCACAACAUGAGGUCUAACUUUCCACUUCCUGUCUGAGGUGCUUCUCCAAAGACAGUCUACACUGUUAUCGACCAGUCUGCCAGUGUACCUCGGGUCCCUUCGCCGCAACACGGCUGUGCCCUACUGAAAGUGCACAGCGAGAAAGCGAUUUCAGAAACCGGCUGACAACUGGAGACCCAGGCUCUAUCACGCCAAGAUCCUCAGCUCCGACAGGAGAGCAGAAGGCUGAGCGGUGGGCAUCCUCAUUCUCUGCUCCUCUGCCAAACCCGGGCUUGCUGCCGGUGCGACGUGCCCUCUUCCUUAGAGGACACCGGACUGUAUCAUCAUGCCUUCAGAUCAGAGGCCACCAGCCUUUCAAAAAUAGGAUACGUGGUUUCAUUUCCUGUCAUUUUACCUGUGCUACAGAGUACAGCAAUGGCCAAGGAGUUAAAAAUGGAAGGGAAGGAAAUGUAGUGGCAGCAAUCUGCUCUCAUAAUCCUGGAAAUCUUUAACACGUAGGGUUCAAGGACUGGUCCCUGCUUUAUAUCAUCUAUAAAUCCCGGACUGCAUCUGAUUUCACACAAUCCAAUGUCAAAAACUCAACACGUCAAUCAGAAAAUUUUGAGUAUAUUUGUUGAAAUGCAAUGCGGCAUCCUGGACUGGAUCUUAGAACAGAAAAAAGGACAUUAGUGUGAAGGCUGGUGAAAUAGGAAUUGAAUAUGCAGUUUAGGGGCGCCUGGGUGGCUCAGUCAAGUGUCUGACUUCACCUCAGGUCAUGAUCUCACGGUUUGUGGGU